Long non-coding RNA from Mya arenaria, 493 nucleotides. RefSeq lists it as uncharacterized. The transcript has 4 exons. The record is from RefSeq and is a predicted model, not a curated record. NCBI's taxonomy places the organism in Eukaryota, Metazoa, Mollusca, Bivalvia, Myida, Myidae.
GAAAGAGAAUGGUAACUUGGUAGUGUUUAAAAUACAUAUUCAACAUUUUUUCGUUUAUUUUUAUGACUUUUGUACAGUAGUAUAAAUCGUCCACCCUUUGGAUGAAAAGCAAAUGAGUUAUCCGGAUUUUGUCUAUCCGAAACUAAAUCACUAGAAUCAACAUCCGGUAUAAUUUUGGCUUGUAUUUUCGAUUGAUUUCUAGCAAACUUGGUUUACCACUACAUCGUCGCUUAUUAUUAUUUGGUGCAGUAUCAUGUUCCUUAGAUGCAACCGUCCACUACAGCUGGGACUUUGCACAGCAGGUUCAUAUUUCACACCAUAGCGAACAGGUUGGACCCCUGUAUUUCAAAACUGCCAGGAGAUGUGAGGUAUUUGGAGUUUGCUGUGAAGGAUCUGAGAAUCAGGUGUUUUACCUUGGUGAUGAGGGUGUUGCCCCAGGCAAAGGAGCAAACACAGUUGUCAGCUACCUCCACCAUUACCUUGAAAACUACAG